GGCCGCCUGGCGAAAUGGCAUCGCGUCUGACUACGAUCCCUUAUUGGCGUAUUUAAAUCAUCAGGAGAUUGCAGGUUCGACCCCUGCGGUGGUCA
Non-coding RNA from Mycena galericulata, 95 nucleotides. Lineage: Eukaryota; Fungi; Basidiomycota; Agaricomycetes; Agaricales; Mycenaceae. The record is from the annotation of a GenBank genome assembly.